Long non-coding RNA from Impatiens glandulifera, 404 nucleotides. RefSeq lists it as uncharacterized. The record is from RefSeq and is a predicted model, not a curated record. The transcript is spliced from 3 exons. Lineage: Eukaryota; Viridiplantae; Streptophyta; Magnoliopsida; Ericales; Balsaminaceae.
GUAAAUAUUUUGUAAUGUUAUUGAAAUGUAUUUUCUUAGAGGGAAUUGGGUGUGAUAUGGGAUGUGGAUUUAUACGGAGAAUUUCUCAAGAUUGGGGGUGGAAAAGAAAGGAUGACAACGUACUUUAACAACACUAGUUGGCCAGAUAAGCUCCUAAGGAUGAAACUGAAAGAAAGGAAUUUAUUCCUUAUCUUCACAAAAGGAAGACCGAACUGUUCAUGGUCUUUAUUGAGAAGAAGUUGUUGCCUCUUCGGCCAGGUGUUGCAAAAUUUGCGUAUGUUAGACAAGAUGAUUUGUUCUUCUCACAGCUGACUGUUCGAGAAACGUUGUCUCUUACAGCUGAGCUCCAACUUCGGGAGAUAAUAUCUAUUGAAAAGAGGGAUGAAUAUGUCAACAAUCUUUUG